RNAcentral lists this ribosomal RNA (371 nucleotides) under uncultured bacterium. RNAcentral describes it as "bacterial SSU rRNA". It matches the Rfam family "Bacterial small subunit ribosomal RNA", at positions 917 to 1291 of the family's 1533-position model. The record is from RNAcentral.
GGGCCCGCACAAGCGGUGGAGCAUGUGGUUUAAUUCGAUGAUACGCGAGGAACCUUACCAGGGCUUAAAUGCAGAACGACAGAGGUGGAAACACCUCCUUCUUCGGACGGUCUGCAAGGUGCUGCAUGGUUGUCGUCAGCUCGUGCUGUGAAGUGUCGGGUUAAGUCCCAUAACGAGCGCAACCCCUAUUUCUAGUUGCCAGCGGUUCGGCCGGGGACUCUAGAGAAACUGCCAGCGUAAGCUGUGAGGAAGUGGGGAUGACGUCAAAUCAUCACGGCCCUUACGUCCUGGGCUACACACGUGCUACAAUGGUAGGGACAGAGAGUUGCCAACCCCGCGAGGGUGAGCUAAUCUUCAAACCCCUAUCUCAG